This 1390-nucleotide ribosomal RNA is filed under the name Campylobacter jejuni. Its description in RNAcentral is "bacterial SSU rRNA". It matches the Rfam family "Bacterial small subunit ribosomal RNA". The record is from RNAcentral. Lineage: Bacteria; Pseudomonadati; Campylobacterota; Epsilonproteobacteria; Campylobacterales; Campylobacteraceae.
UAAUCUGCCCUACACAAGAGGACAACAGUUGGAAACGACUGCUAAUACUCUAUACUCCUGCUUAACACAAGUUGAGUAGGGAAAGUUUUUCGGUGUAGGAUGAGACUAUAUAGUAUCAGCUAGUUGGUAAGGUAAUGGCUUACCAAGGCUAUGACGCUUAACUGGUCUGAGAGGAUGAUCAGUCACACUGGAACUGAGACACGGUCCAGACUCCUACGGGAGGCAGCAGUAGGGAAUAUUGCGCAAUGGGGGAAACCCUGACGCAGCAACGCCGCGUGGAGGAUGACACUUUUCGGAGCGUAAACUCCUUUUCUUAGGGAAGAAUUCUGACGGUACCUAAGGAAUAAGCACCGGCUAACUCCGUGCCAGCAGCCGCGGUAAUACGGAGGGUGCAAGCGUUACUCGGAAUCACUGGGCGUAAAGGGCGCGUAGGCGGAUUAUCAAGUCUCUUGUGAAAUCUAAUGGCUUAACCAUUAAACUGCUUGGGAAACUGAUAGUCUAGAGUGAGGGAGAGGCAGAUGGAAUUGGUGGUGUAGGGGUAAAAUCCGUAGAUAUCACCAAGAAUACCCAUUGCGAAGGCGAUCUGCUGGAACUCAACUGACGCUAAGGCGCGAAAGCGUGGGGAGCAAACAGGAUUAGAUACCCUGGUAGUCCACGCCCUAAACGAUGUACACUAGUUGUUGGGGUGCUAGUCAUCUCAGUAAUGCAGCUAACGCAUUAAGUGUACCGCCUGGGGAGUACGGUCGCAAGAUUAAAACUCAAAGGAAUAGACGGGGACCCGCACAAGCGGUGGAGCAUGUGGUUUAAUUCGAAGAUACGCGAAGAACCUUACCUGGGCUUGAUAUCCUAAGAACCUUUUAGAGAUAAGAGGGUGCUAGCUUGCUAGAACUUAGAGACAGGUGCUGCACGGCUGUCGUCAGCUCGUGUCGUGAGAUGUUGGGUUAAGUCCCGCAACGAGCGCAACCCACGUAUUUAGUUGCUAACGGUUCGGCCGAGCACUCUAAAUAGACUGCCUUCGUAAGGAGGAGGAAGGUGUGGACGACGUCAAGUCAUCAUGGCCCUUAUGCCCAGGGCGACACACGUGCUACAAUGGCAUAUACAAUGAGACGCAAUACCGCGAGGUGGAGCAAAUCUAUAAAAUAUGUCCCAGUUCGGAUUGUUCUCUGCAACUCGAGAGCAUGAAGCCGGAAUCGCUAGUAAUCGUAGAUCAGCCAUGCUACGGUGAAUACGUUCCCGGGUCUUGUACUCACCGCCCGUCACACCAUGGGAGUUGAUUUCACUCGAAGCCGGAAUACUAAACUAGUUACCGUCCACAGUGGAAUCAGCGACUGGGGUGAAGUCGUAACAAGGUAACCGUAGGAGAACCUGCGGUUGGAUCACCUCCUUUCUA